GAUGAACGCUGGCGGCGUGCCUAAUACAUGCAAGUCGAGCGAACGGACGAGAAGCUUGCUUCUCUGAUGUUAGCGGCGGACGGGUGAGUGACACGUGGAUAACCUACCUAUAAGACUGGGAUAACUUCGGGGAACCGUAGCUAAUACCGGAUAAUAUUUUGAACCGCAUGGUUCAAAAGUGAAAGACGGUCUUGCUGUCACUUAUAGAUGGAUCCGCGCUGCAUUAGCUAGUUGGUAAGGUAACGGCUUACCAAGGCAACGAUGCAUAGCCGACCUGAGAGGUGAUCGGCCACACUGGAACUGAGACACGGUCCAGACUCCUACGGGAGGCAGCAGUAGGGAAUCUUCCGCAAUGGGCGAAAGCCUGACGGAGCAACGCCGCGUGAGUGAUGAAGGUCUUCGGAUCGUAAAACUCUGUUAUUAGGGAAGAACAUAUGUGUAAGUAACUGUGCACAUCUUGACGGUACCUAAUCAGAAAGCCACGGCUAACUACGUG
RNAcentral lists this ribosomal RNA (496 nucleotides) under uncultured bacterium. RNAcentral describes it as "partial 16S ribosomal RNA". It matches the Rfam family "Bacterial small subunit ribosomal RNA", at positions 28 to 507 of the family's 1533-position model. The record is from RNAcentral.